Molecule: ribosomal RNA, 843 nt
Filed under: Triticum aestivum (bread wheat)
Lineage: Eukaryota; Viridiplantae; Streptophyta; Magnoliopsida; Poales; Poaceae
Description: partial small subunit ribosomal RNA
Source: RNAcentral
AUGAAGAAGAUCAAGAGUGGAAAAGAGCUAGUGGAAGAAGUAAGGAAGAUUGAGAAGAACAUCAACACUGGUAGCACUAUUUCUUCACAUCUUGAGAUGAGCAAUUCUGGGAUUCCCCUUGAUACAUGUGAGGUUCCAAUACCGUCACAUCCAGCUGAGCAAGAUAGCAAGUGCCUUGAGCAAGAGAUACCACAUAUUGAAGAAGAUAAACUAGAAGACAAGGAACAAGAUGAUCAGGAGCUGCAACUCCCAAGUGAUCAAGUUGAAAACUCAUCAUCUACUACUCCUGAAGAAGUAAAAGAAGCUGUUGUAGAUGAAGAUGAAGAACCUGAGAUUCACUGGCCUAUUGUCAUACAUGAGCAUGAUGUGUCAUGUUUACCCAAUCCUCUUGAUGACAUGCUCCCUUAUGAUUUCGUUGCUUCUAACUUGCAUUGCAUGAUGCCAUCACUUAAGGUAGAUUUGGAAAACUAUUUGCUUGGACAUGAUCAUGCACACCCUGUUAGUGGCAUUACUCUCAUUAGUGAUGAUCACAGUUACUUUCCUCGUGUUAGUUCUAUGCUUAAUGAAACAUAUCAUUCCCAUGCUAGUCUUGAGCUUAAUGAUAAAUAUCAUCCUCAUGUUAGUGUUCACCUUGCUAAUUUCUACCAUCCUAAGCAUGUGCUUUAUAGCUAUGCUUAUGUAAUUGGACAUUCGAUUGAUAACUUGGAGGGUAUUAUCCCUGCCACUUGCAUUGUCUCUUUUGUUGAGUGUUUUUCCAGGUUUUUGCUUCUGCACCGUUCACUUCAUGCUGACCAGGUUCGAGGUGACAUUCCUUGGGACCCUGGUGGACUCAGAGCAUGGUGA